UGCUCUAACUCCCGUAACACGGUCGAUGAGCACGGGAACGGGCCGAUGCUUUACACUACGGGCCGAAAACCCCACGCCGGUGUCCGUUUGGAAAUGGUAAUUAAAUAUUUUAUUAAAUAAAAAUUUUAAUAUAUAUUUAUAUAUUUAUAUAUUUUGACUUUCUUAAAUGUUUUUAGGCCAAAGAGACGGGAGGUUUUCCGUUUCUUGUGGAACUUUACGAGAAGACCCACAAGAACAAGGCGGGCGUAUUUCUAGAUGGCAAGUCUGAGCAAAUUUACAACGACUUGGUUGCUCGGGUUGAAGACCGCCAGACCCAGCUGACCCAACAGUCCACCGAAGGAUUACCCGUCACCUUAUCCACACUUGAAGUGGAUAAGAUUUACGAGGAGAUUGUCCCUAAAAAAAAGAGACGGACGUUGGGGAUUGGUUCCGUCAACGAUGUUCUGAGAGCGACAUCGUCUUAUGGUCAGCAAAGCGACGGGAUGAUGAAGUCUCUCAACUGCGUAGAGAGUCCGAUGAGCUGCGUAGAGAGUCUACUGAGCAGCGUCACGAGUUGAGCUCGACGCGAUCUGCGUUCACAGCUCGUGUGGGUGGACUCGAGGGCUUCUUGGACGUUGUAGCUGCCACAAAUUCGGAAUAGGAGACCUUGUUGAGGACCAUGCGACAACAAAAUCCUAUUCCAGGCGAGUCAUCAUCCGACACACAUGCCGAGGCGGAUGUAGCGGCGAGGAGUGAUGAAUUCUAAUGGGCGAUGAACGACUCUUAGUUCUUUUUUAUUCGGUUCUUGUAUUAUAAAUUCAAAAAUUAUUUAUAUAUAAAAAUUUUUGGUUUUUGAUCUUUUUAGAAUUUUAAUUUUAUUAAAAAAUUAAAUAAUUUUAAUUAUUUUUAAUAAUAUUUUAAUAUUUCUGUAAAAUAAUGAAACGAAGCAAAUUCAUAGCUAAUGUUGCGACUUCUUUACGUGGAAGAUUAACGAGUUCUUUACGAGGAAGAAUUUACAAGGAAAUGACGUGGAAAAGUAUAUGUGUUCUUUACGAGGAAAACUUUCAAGGUAUUUACGUGAACUUUACGAGGAUAUAUUUUCGAGUUAUUUACGUGUGUUUUACGAGAAAAUGAGAAACUCGUUUCGAGGUAUUUAUGAGGAAACUUAGCGGCGUCCUUACGUGUUCUUUACGACGAAAUGCUUUUCUUCGUUUUUACGACGAAAUCAUUUCGUCGCUAUAUUACGACGAAUUAGCGAGGAAAUAUGCGUUACGACAAACGUUUAACGACGAAACGGGUUUCCUCGAAAAUUCUUCGUAAACUUGCUUUUACGACGAAUUCACGAAGAAAACCGCCCUCGUAUAUCUUUUGUUUUCUUGUAGUGACCUUAUCAUGAACACACCAAAAAGCGACGUUGUUUAUCUUCCCGAAGUUUCCAAACGAGUUUACACUGCCGCCGCAGAGUUCAUAAGAUUUGUCGAUUACGUAUUGGGUUUUACUGAAAUUAAAGAUUCUAACCUUUUUACAAAUAUUCUCAAGUCGAUGUUUUGGUGCUCGUUCGAAACUGGUGGAAUUCUGUCAAGCUUUGGAAACAAGACAUGAAUAUCUGGUCAUGAAUUUUCUUGUCACUGGGGGAUAUGUAGAAUCUGCUGAGAAAUUUCAAAUGGAGUCUGGAACGAAACUCAUUAUUUCUUGAUUCUAAUUGAGUUUAGUUCCUCAGAUUAUUUUUCUGCCUUUUAUUUUCUUAUGUAAAACAGCAAAAAUAGAUCUUACAAUCAGCAUAUAUCGCAUGGCUGUUAGAAGAGAUGUUCAAAACGAAAAUGUUCAAAUGCUAUUGAAAAGUUAACGGUUUGAAUCCUGAGGCAUCAAUGCCUUCUUCGUAUGCAUAUUCUCUCUUCUUGUGUGGUUAGUGAGAUAUCAAAAAACCAAGUCUGAUUCUUCUUGGAAUCCAUAUAUGUGUUGCUAUUGUGGUGGAUUGGGACGGUGGUGUACGUUAGAAGUUGUGGAUAUUGUGCAAGUGUAUAUCUUCAGUUAGGUGUAUAUGUGGAUAUCAUGAGUAUGAUGUAAGCAUGGAUAUUGUGAACUGAUUUGAUGUACACAUGGAUACCGAUGGAUAUUGUGAGAAUGGUGUACUCAUGGAUAUUGUGAAUUGAUGUACACAUGGAUACCGAUGUACAUGUGGAUAGUGAAUAUCACAUAUCAUGAGAAUGGUGUACGCAUUGAUAUUGUGAACUGAUGUACACAUGGAUAUCAAUGUACAUGUGGAUAGCAAAUAUAUGUACAUAAGGAACAAAAAGUGUACAUGUGGAUACUUAUUGACGUAUACAAAUUAAAAAUGUGAGCAAGCCAUGUAAUACAAAACAUGUACAACUUUUUUUUUGUAACACAUGGAACAUGGGAAACAUAAAGUUGGCUUUAUUUCAUCAGAGGGUUUUAUAGACUUUAACCAUAAAAAAACUACCGUGGUAGCAGAAAGUGAUCCUCUAUGUAAUAAAAUGAUGAAAACUACCCUAUAAUGUAAAUCACUAGAUAUAUUGACUGACAUAUGUCGUACUAAGAAUUGAUUGGCAUCAAAUGCAUAUGUCACCAUGAGUCAUUAAUAUAAGAACUUGGCAUCUCUCGUUAUCUUAAGGAACUUUACAAUAAACUAGGUUCGUUCCCGGGCUACGCCCGGGUUAUCUUAUAUGAAAAUGUUGAACCAAAAUAUCAUAUUAAAUUUUGGUGUUGAUUCUUUGAACGCAAAAAAGUGUGUUGUAUAUCGAGUUUACGCAAAUGUUUAAAAGCCAAAAAAGCUGUAAGUAAAGUAGAUAAUGGAGGAAGCAGAUUAAGUCUUUCGCAUAUCAGAAUUUUUUUGAGGGCAUGAGAAAGAAAGGACCUGAAAUUGGAUAAGAAUAGUUAGUCAGCAUACGUUUAGUUGAAUAUAGUAGUAUUUGUUUUUAUAUUUAAAGUUUUGUACCUGGCUUAGGUGGGGUAAACCUAUGUGUAAGUCCCUUCUUUAUUGGCUUGUAUCAUCGCUUGGUCGAUAUUUUCGAGAUAGUUAAUCUGUGAAUAUAAUAUUUUAUCAGAUUUCUGAAAAAAUGGGAGGAAAAAAUUAUUUAUUUAAAUUACCUGUAUCGGGAUGAAAGCCUCUGAAUAUUUCUUUGUAGACUAUGUUCUUCACUUUCAGCUGGUGUGGAUCUUCAGUUUUGAUGAUCGUUAAUCCUUUGUCGAAAUGUGGUAAAUAGAGUGAGUUUAAAUAUAUGAUUUUUUGUCUUUUAACGUUGGUGUGAAUGAGCAUUUAUUACUGAAUGUUAAUUUUAUGAGUUUUUUAUUCCAAAGUGUUUCAGUUUCGUUGAAGUUUCUAUGUUAGCGGAAGUUUUUAAGUAUUAAUUUCAUUUUUUUAUGUUCACUGGGUUUAGAUUAGCUAUAAACUAUAUAAAACG
Long non-coding RNA from Brassica rapa (field mustard), 3401 nucleotides. RefSeq lists it as uncharacterized. NCBI's taxonomy places the organism in Eukaryota, Viridiplantae, Streptophyta, Magnoliopsida, Brassicales, Brassicaceae. The record is from RefSeq and is a predicted model, not a curated record.